AACGAACGCUGGCGGCAUGCCUAACACAUGCAAGUCGAACGAGACCUUCGGGUCUAGUGGCGCACGGGUGCGUAACGCGUGGGAACCUGCCCUUAGGUUCGGAAUAACUCCCCGAAAGGGGUGCUAAUACCGGAUAAUGUCUUCGGACCAAAGAUUUAUCGCCAUUGGAUGGGCCCGCGUUGGAUUAGCUAGUUGGUAGGGUAAAAGCAUACCAAGGCGACGAUCCAUAGCUGGUCUGAGAGGAUGAUCAGCCACACUGGGACUGAGACACGGCCCAGACUCCUACGGGAGGGAGCAGUGGGGAAUAUUGGACAAGGGAGGAAAGUCUGAUCAAGCCAUGUCGGGUGAGUGAUGAAGGCCUUAGGGUUGUAAAGCCCUUUUACACGGGAUGAUAAUGACAGUACCGGGAGAAUAAGCACCGGCUAACUCCGUG
This 433-nucleotide ribosomal RNA is filed under the name uncultured bacterium. RNAcentral describes it as "partial 16S ribosomal RNA". It matches the Rfam family "Bacterial small subunit ribosomal RNA", at positions 29 to 507 of the family's 1533-position model. The record is from RNAcentral.